Molecule: long non-coding RNA, 272 nt
Filed under: Sinocyclocheilus grahami
Lineage: Eukaryota; Metazoa; Chordata; Actinopteri; Cypriniformes; Cyprinidae
Description: lncRNA (ENSSGRG00000032341.1)
Source: RNAcentral
AGUCCCGUUGCCAACAGAUUUCUGACACAUUAAAACUUGCGUUUCACAGGCGCAGCUAGAAAACGCCAAUGACUGUUGUGAAAGAAUAAAGAGAAUGAAUGAAACCUGUGUGAAUAUUACACACUGUGAUCCUGGUCUCCUUCAAGUUCAGGAGAACAGUACAACAUUUUGUGUGUCCUGCGAUUUAACAGAGCAGGGGAAUUCAACUUUACUUAACAAUAGUAAGUGCUGUGACAUGGUCAUAAAUGAACAUCUGUACAGUCUAGAACAGU